CGUGUAGGCGGUCAAGUAAGUGGAAUGUGAAAUGCCCCGGCUCACCCGGGGAUCUGCAUCCCAAACUGCUUGGCUCGAGUAUGGGAGAGGAUGAGGGAAUUCCUGGUGUAGCGGUGAAAUGCGUAGAUAUCAGGAGGAACACCGGUGGCGAAAGCGCUCAUCUGGCCCAAUACUGACGCUGAGGCGCGAAGCUAGGGAGCAAACG
This 205-nucleotide ribosomal RNA is filed under the name uncultured bacterium. RNAcentral's name for it is "partial 16S ribosomal RNA". It matches the Rfam family "Bacterial small subunit ribosomal RNA", at positions 568 to 774 of the family's 1533-position model. The record is from RNAcentral.